UCCGGGGUAGCUCAGUUGGCAGAGCAUCGGACUGUUAAUCCGCAGGUCGUGGGUUCGAGCCCCACCCCCGGAGCCA
Molecule: transfer RNA, 76 nt
Filed under: Microthrixaceae bacterium
Lineage: Bacteria; Bacillati; Actinomycetota; Acidimicrobiia; Acidimicrobiales; Microthrixaceae
Description: tRNA-Asn
Rfam family: tRNA
About the family: Transfer RNA (tRNA) molecules are approximately 80 nucleotides in length.
Source: RNAcentral